RNAcentral lists this ribosomal RNA (490 nucleotides) under uncultured bacterium. RNAcentral's name for it is "partial 16S ribosomal RNA". It matches the Rfam family "Bacterial small subunit ribosomal RNA", at positions 29 to 507 of the family's 1533-position model. The record is from RNAcentral.
GUGAACGCUGGCGGUAGGCCUAACACAUGCAAGUCGCACGGCAGCACAGUAAGAGCUUGCUCUUACGGGUGGCGAGUGGCGGACGGGUGAGGAAUACAUCGGAAUCUACUUUUUCGUGGGGGAUAACGUAGGGAAACUUACGCUAAUACCGCAUACGACCUACGGGUGAAAGCAGGGGAUCUUCGGACCUUGCGCGAUUGAAUGAGCCGAUGUCGGAUUAGCUAGUUGGCGGGGUAAAGGCCCACCAAGGCGACGAUCCGUAGCUGGUCUGAGAGGAUGAUCAGCCACACUGGAACUGAGACACGGUCCAGACUCCUACGGGAGGCAGCAGUGGGGAAUAUUGGACAAUGGGCGCAAGCCUGAUCCAGCCAUACCGCGUGGGUGAAGAAGGCCUUCGGGUUGUAAAGCCCUUUUGUUGGGAAAGAAAAGCAGCAGGUUAAUACCCCGCUGUUCUGACGGUACCCAAAGAAUAGCACCGGCUAACUUCGUG